Molecule: transfer RNA, 73 nt
Filed under: Felis catus (domestic cat)
Lineage: Eukaryota; Metazoa; Chordata; Mammalia; Carnivora; Felidae
Also listed under: 4 other names
Rfam family: tRNA
About the family: Transfer RNA (tRNA) molecules are approximately 80 nucleotides in length. Their secondary structure includes four short double-helical elements and three loops (D, anti-codon, and T loops).
Source: Rfam by way of RNAcentral
ACCUGGCUGGCUCAGUCAGUAGAGCAUAUGACUCUUGAUCUCAGGGUUGUGAGUUCAAGCCCCAUGUUAGGUG